Molecule: non-coding RNA, 27 nt
Filed under: Mus musculus (house mouse)
Lineage: Eukaryota; Metazoa; Chordata; Mammalia; Rodentia; Muridae
Source: RNAcentral
UGCCAAGUACUAUGACGCCAUCGCCUG